GCCGAGGGUACUCCCGGGGUAGGGGCGAAAUCCGAUAAUCCCGGGAGGACCACCAGUGGCGAAGGCGCUCGGCUGGAACGCGCCCGACGGUGAGGGGCGAAAGCUGGGGGAGCAAAGGGGAUUAGAUACCCCUGUAGUCCCAGCUGUAAACGAUGCGGGCUAGCUGUUGGGCGGGCUUCAGAGCCCGCCCAGGGCGGAGGGAAGCCGUUAAGCCCGCCGCCUGGGGAGUACGGCCGCAAGGCUGAAACUUAAAGGAAUAGGCGGGGGAGCACCACAAGGGGUGGAACCUGCGGCUCAAUUGGAGUCAACACCUGGAAGCUUACCGGGGGAGACCGCAGGAUGACGGCCAGGCUAACGACCUUGCCUGACUCGCGGAGAGGAGGUGCAUGGCCGUCGCCAGUUCGUGUUGUGAAAUGUCCGGUUAAGUCCGGCAACGAGCGAGACCC
This 446-nucleotide ribosomal RNA is filed under the name uncultured archaeon. RNAcentral's name for it is "SSU rRNA". It matches the Rfam family "Archaeal small subunit ribosomal RNA", at positions 608 to 1053 of the family's 1478-position model. The record is from RNAcentral.